Molecule: ribosomal RNA, 274 nt
Filed under: uncultured bacterium
Lineage: Bacteria
Description: partial 16S ribosomal RNA
Rfam family: Bacterial small subunit ribosomal RNA
Source: RNAcentral
GUCCUAGCCGUAAACGGUGGGUGCUAGGUGUGGGGGGCGGUAUGUUCCUCCGUGCCGCAGCUAACGCAUUAAGCACCCCGCCCUGGGGAGGUACGGCCGCAAGGCUAAAACUACAAAGGAAAUUGACGGGGGCCCGGCACAAGCGGCGGAGCGCGUUGCUCAAUUCGAUGCAAAGCACAGAACCUUACCAGGGUUUGACAUGCUGACAGUAGGAACCGGAAACGGGACCGACCCGUAGAGUCGGGUAUCAGCACAGGUACUGCAUGGCUGUCGU